UACGUAGGGUGCGAGCGUUAAUCGGAAUUACUGGGCGUAAAGCGUGCGCAGGCGGUUUUGUAAGCCAGAUGUGAAAUCCCCGGGCUUAACCUGGGAAUGGCAUUUGGGACUGCAAGGCUGGAGUUUGGCAGAGGAGACUGGAAUUCCUGGUGUAGCAGUGAAAUGCGUAGAUAUCAGGAGGAAUACCGAUGGCGAAGGCAGGUCUCUGGGACUAUAACUGGACGCUC
RNAcentral lists this ribosomal RNA (227 nucleotides) under uncultured bacterium. RNAcentral's name for it is "partial 16S ribosomal RNA". It matches the Rfam family "Bacterial small subunit ribosomal RNA", at positions 524 to 748 of the family's 1533-position model. The record is from RNAcentral.